UCUUUCGUUUUUCCUUUUGCCAAAUAAGGCGAAUUCACGCAUCGGAAGCUUCAACAUGCUUCAUUGACUUUAACUUGAUACACACGUACAUACAACAAAUAAGAAUAAGAGAGAACGAGAGAAAGCGAGAGUGAGAGAGAGACGCUUGCAAUGAGGAAGAAGAAUCCAUUCAUCCUUCCUUCCUUGUGGCCAUAUAUAACAAUUGUUGCCGGUUGAUUUCGUCGCUUAUUCCGAACUCUGCUUGUGCCAAUUUACAGCAUCAGCGUAAAUUUAUUACGAGGUAUUAAUGAUAUUACCAGAACUUGGAACCGGGUAGCGCAGGGUCUCCUCUCUUAAUGAAUGGGAAUCACUCGAGUGUGAGCAAUUGGUAAAUAAACUGAAAAUAAGAUUGUCAAAUAGACCCAACGCAAAGGACAGAUGAUAUGCUAUAAAUGGAACGUGUCUUUCCAUUAAUCAGACGAAAACCAUAAGCAAUCACAGAUCAUGAACAUUUUUCUCAUUUAAAGAAGUUUUGUUCAUAAGUAAAACGGUAAAAAGAAUGAGACAGAAGCCUCGAAAUAAAUGAAUCGACGCCAAUAACAAGCGGAAGAACAAGCAAAUAAACUGAAACGUAAUGAAAUGAAUGGUAAAACGUAAAUGUCAUUUACGUUUAAGGCAGCACAGUUGAGGGAAUCGAGUCGCGAGCAUCGACUGCGAGACAAUCGCAAUUCGUUGCGCAAUUGACGAUUGUCAAAAAUUUGUCAAAAAUACACGAGUUCGAGUACGUUUUACCUUCAUCAGUGCACAGCACUGGGAGCAGCAGAAGCAGCAGCUACAGAAGCAAUAGUAGUAAUAGCAACGACAACAUCAACAGCAUCCGCAUCAACAUCAGUAAGGAAAAUCAGCUUUGAUUUGCCGCUGAAAAUUCAUUGCGCCGGCUGUUUGACGAGACUGAAGCGACACUUGAAUUUCCCUCAAGUUCGUUACGUGUUCUUAUUGCUUCUGUCGUUGCUGCUGUUGAUGUUGUUGUUUCUGCUGCUGUAGAAGCUUCUCUCUGCUGGGUGGAAAAUGAGGCAACAAAUCACCAUUAAUGGCAAUACAAUCGCACAGGUGUUGCAUUGUCAAGAAUUUGAUCCGUAAAUCAAAAUCUGCUAAAACAAAAGUGUGAGAAAACGUUUGUGAAAUAUUC
Drosophila sulfurigaster albostrigata is the source of this 1168-nucleotide long non-coding RNA. RefSeq lists it as uncharacterized. The record is from RefSeq and is a predicted model, not a curated record. The transcript has 3 exons. Lineage: Eukaryota; Metazoa; Arthropoda; Insecta; Diptera; Drosophilidae.